This is a long non-coding RNA of Triticum dicoccoides, 4003 nucleotides long. RefSeq lists it as uncharacterized. NCBI's taxonomy places the organism in Eukaryota, Viridiplantae, Streptophyta, Magnoliopsida, Poales, Poaceae. The record is from RefSeq and is a predicted model, not a curated record. The transcript has 14 exons.
AGGUUUGGCGACGGCCAAGGGCUCGCAGAUCCAUGGGCGCCAUCGUCCGACCUCGACCUCUGAGUGUGCUCCCGCCAUGGCCUCCUCGAGACGCCGCCCUUCCCCCUGCUCCAACCCUAACCAUAGCAUUGCUGCUGCUGGUCAAGGUGCACGCACGUGUCCAGCAGCGACCCUUAGCCUCGGACGGCAGCAGCGGCCAUCACCAAUGACGGCAGCGACAGGGGGUGAAUUGGUUCUGCAGGUUUGUUGCUGUCAUCGUUUCUUCUGUUCCUUCACCGUUUUGGUCGUCCUGUCGUGUGUUGCUGCUUCAAGAGACUGCAUCGUUCAUGCUUCUGGUUGGCUUCUUCCUUUGACGUUAGUUUACUGCUGGUCGCACUCCUAAUGACCUAACAGACAUGCAUCCAUGGUGACUUUGUGAUCUUAAGCAUGUCGAAAAACAUGACAAAAGACAUCCAAUAGCAAGCAAAUUAGUGAAAUAUUUAACCAGCGCAGGGAGCUUACAAGGGCAUGCAGAGAGUUUAUCAGAUGCAUCAGUCAGAUAUUUCAGUUCAGCAUCGUCUUCUCAGACUAACUCAACUGACGAAAAUGGGUUUUCAUUCGAUAUAUUUAGAAGCCACAACUGACUUUGAAAGCAUGGCCAUUCCAGGAUUAAGGGGCAUGGCAUGUUGGCACCAUUCACAGCUGGAUGUCAGAGCAAUGAUGUGCAUCUGCUGGUUAUUGGGAGAUCUGAGGGUUCUUAUGUUUAUGACAUCAACAGAAUAAGUAUCUAGAUUCUCUAGCAGGACUGUGGAGUACAAAUUUAGGUGGUAGUGAGCCUCGAUUAGUCAAAGCUGCAACUGACCAAUUAAACAAGUUACCCUUCUAUCACUCCUUCUGGAACCGUACAACCAAACCAACAUUGGGGGGUGGAUCUCAAGGGGAGAGGUGCUGUCCUCCAGAGCUGUUGGAUCCUAAAAUAAAGCUCGCCUCCGCGCAUGAGGAAGGCAAUGCCAUUAUGCCUAGGCUACCACGGAGCCGAACAAGGAUGUUGUUCAGCCUGUCACCUAACACCAUCAAGGAGGAGGAGCGUGGCCGAAAGACGGCGGCCAGUCCGACCAUGUGCUCACUUCACCCCCUUCUCCCUUCCAAUUUUGGAUUUGAUCUGGACGCCGCCGUCGCCGUGGUUGCCUCGCCGUCGUGGCUCAGAAGUAAAUUCUAGCACAGAAGCCAUAUUGCAGAUUGAAGAGUUUCAGGUUGACAAGGUAAUAAUAUUGUCAGUGUGUUCAUGUUUAUGGUUAGAUUUAUAUCAUGGUAUUUCUCAGAGCAAUAUUUUAGGGUCAUAUGGCAGUCACACACUGAUUUAAACCGAGCAUUAAUAUGCAAUAAGAAUGGCCUAUUACCUGGUUGAGAUGUACAAUAUGAAAAGUAUCCAUUAUAAUUAAGGGUUUAGAAUCUGCUACUCCUUGGUUUGUUGUGGAUCCAUGAUGUUUUAGUGUGGUUCAUAUAGAUGGACAACUGUAGUUGCAUUGUGGUUGGUGGGGAAAAUAAUAAUAGCUGCAUUUCAUUUCUCUAUUUGCUUUGACGUAAAUAGUAAGAGAGGGUUCUGAACCAAACGAUCAGUUCCUCAAUUCUGCACUUCGUCAUGAGAAGCAGAGCUCCCUUGUGCCACUCUCUCUACAAAGGUGAUGCUUGCUCCCAUUCAUGGUUUGGUUUGCAAAAUUAGUUGGAGUUGUGAUUCACUAGCAGUUCUUAAAAUAUAUGUGCUUUCAUUAAGAAGAAUAAGCUACCAUGCUAGAUUAGUUGAUCCAGGGCUUAAGUUCCGAUCUCAAAGUUUUUUAUUGCAUCAGUUUAACUUUCAUGUAGUUUUGUGUAUUACUUUAUUAUAUGUAGAAGAAAUAAUAAUAAGAUUGAUCCCUUCACUUUUUCUGCGGAAAAUGUACUCUGCAAGCUUAUCAAAUCUGGGUACUGUUGUAGAAGUGCAACACCAUACAUCAGUGAGCUCCCUAAUUUGGCUAGAACAGAGGGCUACUGUUCUUACUCAUUUACUACUGUUUUGGCACCUUACUGUGUUUCAAAUUGGUAUUCCAUUACGUUUUGCCACCCGCUUCUGCAAGAAAGAAUGCUUAUAAUAAAUUUCAUGAUGUAACUUCAUAUGAUUUCCAAUUAACAAAUUCCAACUAUUUUGGCACUCCAAAUAGAUAAAAGGAAGUCUACCUGCUAUUUUAAGAUUCAUAUAUCAGGCACAUACAUAAUGUAUCAUCCCUUAUGACUCUGAAGCAAUUCAGGUGUUAAUCUAAGUAUUUCAUACCUCUGUUUAUUGAGUAGUUUAUGUCUUAUGCAUGAUUAGUGGGUUAUCUACUACACACUUUUUAUUUUAAAUGUUAGCAAGGUAACCAGAACUAUGAUUACAGCGACCAAGUGAUAUUAUAAAUCCUUUUAGUAUCUUUUUCAUUGCUGACGUGUUCUUCCAAUAAUCUUGGUGCCCACUAUUCUUCUUGGAUGUACGAUUCCGAUAUAGCAAUUGCAAUAGUCCUCCCAGUUCACUCUUCUGAAUUGUGGCAUGCUGAUUUUUUAUUAUCCAAAAAGUUAGCAGUUCACAUGUUUACUCAUGGACAACUAUAUGAUGUUCUGUCUCAUGUGCAUUAAGAGAAUUGCUAAAAAUACUUACUGAAGAUAAAGUUGUAGAAUGCACUAUUGAAACACAGAAUAACGUUUACCCUUAGGGGUAUGCCUCUGCUGGGGCCUUUUGAGAUAUCUAUGUACCAUCAUGGUCUUAUAUUUUGCAGUGUGGUGCCCUUUUUGUUUGUUUUGGGUUCAGCUGCCUUCGUCUGUGCAUAUCCUUUUGGUAUAAUCAUAAAACGAGAUAGUCAAUUUCUUCUUCUUGGAAUAGUGCUUUCGCUCGAAAUAAUGAAUGAUUUCGUGUAGGGAGAGGGGGCGUAUAUCCAUACACUACCCGCAUCAUGCUAAUUGCAUGUAUUCUGUCUCUCUUUCAUAUAUCUGUUGGUAGUUUUUCUUUUCGAGGUUGCUUUGUCCUCUCCUGAUUAUUCUUUUCCUGGUGAUUAAUUUCUAACUAUUUGUUGUAGAUGGCAUUCAAUGCACUAUUCUUUUGAUGCGUCGGCUUGAAACACAUUAUGAUAUACAUUUAACUGUAGAUGGCAUGCCGCGCAUUAUGAUAUACAUUCAACUCAGUUGCAGAUAUCAUGCAAGCGACAAAACACAUUAUGAUAUACAUUCGAUUUGCUUACUCCACAGUUGCGCAAAAAUUUCCUUGGUUCUAGGUUCUGAAUACGUGUUAAUCCAGCAUCUGUUUUGACCCUGUAGAUGAAUUUAUCCCCAGAUGUUUAUACAGGGAAUGAGGCAUACCAUUGAUAGUUUGAAUCAAACCAGUAGAGGACGCCACCGUCGAUUAUGGUGUCGAGCAACGGAACUGCAGUGAUCUGGUAGUGUGACUGUUGACCUCCUUGACACCAUUCACGUUCGUCGCUCUGAACCCACUCAGCAGACAAGUUGGCAUAGACAUGUUUACAUCAGCAAUCUUUUCUUUGAGAUAUCUGGUGGCCUUUCGUAAUCAUCGAAUUCAAGUCAUCUUUGAGUACACGACAUCUUCUGAAGUUCGUGCCAUCAUGCUUUAGUUUCUCACAUGGGCUGAGAUUAUUCAAAUAAAAAGACGGUCUCAGGCACAAGAGCAUGAUGUGCUUGCGCCAGUUGCUUUCACACCAAGGCCACGUGGUUGAUCAUCUAAGCGCACCUAUGAAGUUGACCGACAAGGCAGUUGGACAGAGCUACUAAUUAGUAUGCCUAAUAGCUGUUGCUUUGUAGUUUGACCGCCUCUACCAUCAGUAUGCCUGGCUUUUGCUUUCUUAUUAUGUUCCUGCUAUUAGUACUUCCUCUCUCGUGUUCGUGCUCUUAUUUUUGAACUUAAUGUUGUAUUUAUUAGGUUUUGUGGUCUAAUGAACUAACUGAGUGUUUAUAAUUUCAUGAUGAUGUUGAACUCGAUAAUAUCUUGCUUCUUACUAAAUGAUCA